GCGGCCGCCCCACUCCCGCCCCACGUGGCCCCGAACUUUCGGCCGCCCCGGCCCCGCCGCGCAAGCGCUGCCCCCGCCCCGCUCCGCUCCGCCCCGGGGCUCCCUCAGMGCGGGCGGCGGGAGCGGGGCGGUUCCGGAUCCCUCCCGCGGCCCGGCCAUAGCCUGGAGCAGCGGGGUUGAGAUCCGCGGUGAAAUGGCCGCCAAAGCGGCCUCCAGAACGCCUCCGAGGCGGCGCUCCCGGGCUCGCCCGGCCCUUGCUCGGCUGGAGAGAGUGAGGGUGAGGGGUGCUGGGCUGUGCACAGCGAAUGCUUAGGAAGAUCCCACAUCGCUCAGCAGUGGAAAAAGUCAACAUUGAAGAGAGCUCCCCACAGCCUGCAUCCACAGCAAUGCUGAGUGCCCCUAAAUGGCUGUGACUUCAAAGGAUCAGGCCUUGAGGAUGGAGUGGAAGAAAGACACCUUUACUACAGCYGUCUGUUAGCCGUGGCCCUGUGUAGGGUGGUUUAUGCUCCCAUGUCACCUUCCCAGUCCUGACCUCUGGAUCCAGCUGAUCUCUCUGCUGUUGYGCUGAUAACUGAGAAUGGAAGUGGCCUCUUGAGAAGCUCUGGUCAAACUGUUCUASUCAAGCAGGAUCAGCUAGAUCAGUCUGUCCAGAACUGUGUCCAGAUGGGCUUUGAAGAUGGAUGCAGAGCCCAUAACUUCAGUGGGUAACCUAUUCCAGUGUCCAGCCACCCUCACAUCUCCUUUAUUGUUGUUUCUUUUCCCUUUUUGUCUCAGCUAUUGUUGUCCUGAGCCAUUUAUGCUGAACUGUGCACUCUGCUCUAGCCAUCUCCAAUGCUUAAACGUCUCCCUCCUCAGGCCCACCUCAUGUCAGGAGGCCCUGAGCCAAACCAGAACAGGUGGUAAUCCCACCACAGGACAAUAUUCCUAGGAAGAGUUUCUUCUUGGUAUAACUUGAAUGUAUGCUUUGGCCAGUCAGAAAACAUAAUUUUUUUUAUAAGCCCAGAACACUGCCUAUCAAAAAAGCCUUUUUGAGUCAGCUUUACAGAGCAGAAUGGACAGUUAAUUAGUAGAUGAAAAGGACAACAUAACCUCCGAUCAGUUGCUUCGUGUAAAACUUCAUACUUUUUCAGGACUGUGUUUUAAGAAGUGCAGAAUGUUACUUUGUUUUCUUUUGUGGGAUUUGUUACAGCAAGGCUGCUAUCAUCAARGAAAAAGGCUAAAAUUCAACUCAGCCUGAUUACUUUUUAAUCUAGAGUUUACUGAAGACUUUGUACACCCACGUUAAAUGCCCAGUGAGAGCUAAUAUUUGUGAUGGGAGGAAGAGGAGUUUUCCUGAAGAUACAGGCAGAAAACACUGCUCAUGACAAUGCUGAAGUAAAAAAAAUUGCAUCCUACGCCCCAGAAUUAGCAGACCUCAAAUACUUCCUUAUGGCAUGUUAAGAAAUGAACACAUAAAGAGUUUGGUGAUGUGAAGAGUACUCACACCAAACCCCAUGCUUGUGCCAACCCCAAUUCAAACUUGAGUGUGACCGAGAUAACAGACUAAAAAGUCCCUUGUUUGGUUUUUGGUGCUACUGUGCCAUGGCAGGAUCCUAGGAUAGUGCUGUUUCUGCUGUGGGGUUGUGAUGGAACACACUGUGACAUCCCAGCCCAUUGAAGUGGGUGGGAAUCUUGCCAUUUGUUCUGUGACUGUCAGUGACUUCUGUUAUCACAGGUGAUGCAACAUCUGUGGUACAAUGAUACAAACGUCACAAUGUAGGUGCUUGACCCUGUGGCAGAAAAAAAGGCAAACAGUGACAGUAGCUACCAGCCAARGCAAAUAAAGACUUGGAGGAUGGAAAGUUGCUUAGGAUUUUCUUCUAACUUUUACAAAGUGUUGUGGAUGCAUACAGAAUUUCUAUUCUUGUUGUUAACUUUUACAAAGUGUUCUGGAUGCRCACAGAAUUUCUAUUCUUAUUGUUAACUAGCUCUGAAGGAUUAGUCAACUUUUUGUAAACAGUGAGAAACAUUUUGGCUAUAGCACAAGUUUAAAGUAAAUGCUUCUUACACAACAAGAGCAGGAUUCAGUGCUUCUU
Malurus melanocephalus (red-backed fairy wren) is the source of this 2075-nucleotide long non-coding RNA. RefSeq lists it as uncharacterized. The transcript is spliced from 3 exons. NCBI's taxonomy places the organism in Eukaryota, Metazoa, Chordata, Aves, Passeriformes, Maluridae. The record is from RefSeq and is a predicted model, not a curated record.